GCCAUGACUCUGCCUCUCUGCGUGGCAUUUGUGUCCCCGGAUCUCCAUGGUGGCCUGCCCUCUGGAUGACCAGGAAGACCCCCUCCCCACCCCCAGACUCCCAGGGAUACGGAAGUGCUUCAAGGCGGUGAGCAGGUGGAGUGCCCAGCACCUGGGCUGCUCAGGUGUGAACGGGUCUCUGCCCUCUUCCAGGGUGGCAAGGUGUUGUCGCAGGGACCUGCAGGGUCCUAGCGGGCGCCUGAGCUGCCUGGAUCAGGGAUCUCUUUCCUCAGAGAGUGCGCAGUCCGAGCAGGAAGGAUGAGUCCUGGGCUGUGGGAGUAGGGGGCUGGGAGCACCCUCCCCAGAGCCUCAUCCUGAGCUCACAGUGGGUGCGGAAGGGCGCCUCCUCCCAGCGCCUCACCUAGGCUGGUCCCUGCUCCAUAAAGGAUAAGGCAGGGCAUUUCUAUGGCAACACUUCUCCUCCCGGCAAUGCUAGGGGUUCUGCUGUGUCCGCCCCCGCCCCAACUUUAUCUGUUGAAACUUUAACCAACCCCUGGCACCCCAGGAUGUGACUGUAUUUGGAGACAGGGUUUUAAAGAGGUGACUAAGUUAUAAUGAAGUCACAGAAGGGGUCCCUAAUCCCGUAUGACAGAUGUCCCCAUAAGAAGAGGAGAUUAUAGAGUUCCCGUGGUGGCUCAGUGGGUUAAGAACCUGACUAGUAACCAUGAGGAUGCAAGUUUGAUCCCUGGCCUCACUCAGUGGGUUAAGGAUCCUGCAUUGCCAUGAACUGCGGUGUAGGUCACAGAUGCGGCUUGGAUCCUGCUAGCCUGGAACUUCCAUAUGCCGCAGGUGCAGCCCUAAAAAAAACAACAACAAAAGGCCAAGGAGAGAGACCCCAGAGGAAACCCUCCCUGCGGAUGCCUUGAUCUCAGACUUGUAGCUUCCAGGUUGGUGAGGAAAUAAAUUUCCAUUGUCUGGAGCCUCCAGUCUGGGGGCCUCUGUUACGACAGCGCCAGCCGACUCAUUCAAAUGACCUCACUCAGUGAAGGUUGCAGUGAGCUCCCAGAGAUAACGCCCACACUCUUCUGUGACCACGAGGGACGAAUAAACAGAAGUGCCCUUCAAAGACUCAUAAGUCAGAAAGGCCUCGGGACUCGGAGAUGGUUAUUUGGUUACGUGAUGACCUUACUGACAACCAGGGUUUCAGAGCUUGAAUUUCCCAGAAGCACAAGGUGCUCUUGCUGAUGUCAGAGGACCAGGCUGGCUCGGCAGAAGCUGAUGUUGGUGCAUGUAGAUUUUCCACGUGGAGAAGAAGAACCACGGGUCCAGAGUUGCGUUAAAGGGCUCACGUCUGUGGGGAGGUUCGUGGGUUUUAAAGUUUAAAAAAACUCAUGGCUGCCUUAGGCUUUGGCCAGGAUUUUUAGAAAUGUGCCUGACGUGACAGCACAGAGAGAAUAAUAAAAUGAAGUCCAACCUUGACAUUUUACAAGGUACUCGGCAGCACUUUAAAUUUCAGGGCGUUUCACUGAUGACCCAGCAGUGCCUCCGCGGGCUUUGGGGACACGUGCCCGCCCCACCCCUCACGCCCCCACCCCAGCUCUCUCUGCCUUAAAUUGCUGGGCAAAUAACAGCCUCCAGCUGGGCUCUGCUUGCCUAAGCCUGAACCUGCCUCUGCCUUCUGAGAAAGUCCAGGCGAUUUUGUUGGUUUCCGCAGUAAGUGGCUGCAGUCCUGCACGAAGCCCACAGCAGGUGGGGUCACCUCCCGGGGGCCACGCUGCCCAGGUGAGUGAACACUCACGGCCUGGAGCUUCCAGGGCGGGAGGUGCAGGGUUUGUGGCUACCUGGCCCCAUCGCUUCACUUUUGGGGCCUCUGUUUUCCUCUACAAAGAGCAGAAAAAUAGUAACAGCCAAAGGACCUGUGCAGGAAUUAGGCUAGUAAAUACUCAGGGUCUGUUUCCUUCCUUCCCCAUCCUGCCCCUUGAAGGCAGAACCGUGGCUUCUCCUGGGCUCCCCUCACCUCGCCCAGCACAAUGCUGGUGCACGCUGAGACCAGGGUGCAGUGUUGAUGGGAGUUCCCGUCGUGGUUUAGCGGGUUAGGAACCGACUAGUAUCCAUGAAGAUGCAGGUU
RNAcentral lists this long non-coding RNA (2107 nucleotides) under Sus scrofa (pig). RNAcentral's name for it is "lncRNA (ENSSSCG00050010715.1)". The record is from RNAcentral. Lineage: Eukaryota; Metazoa; Chordata; Mammalia; Artiodactyla; Suidae.